This 429-nucleotide ribosomal RNA is filed under the name Acidobacteriota bacterium. Its description in RNAcentral is "Acidobacteria bacterium partial 16S ribosomal RNA". It matches the Rfam family "Bacterial small subunit ribosomal RNA", at positions 355 to 776 of the family's 1533-position model. Lineage: Bacteria; Pseudomonadati; Acidobacteriota. The record is from RNAcentral.
UAGGGAAUCUUCGGCAAUGGACGAAAGUCUGACCGAGCAACGCCGCGUGAGUGAAGAAGGUUUUCGGAUCGUAAAACUCUGUUGUUAGAGAAGAACAAGGACGUUAGUAACUGAACGUCCCCUGACGGUAUCUAACCAGAAAGCCACGGCUAACUACGUGCCAGCAGCCGCGGUAAUACGUAGGUGGCAAGCGUUGUCCGGAUUUAUUGGGCGUAAAGCGAGCGCAGGCGGUUUCUUAAGUCUGAUGUGAAAGCCCCCGGCUCAACCGGGGAGGGUCAUUGGAAACUGGGAGACUUGAGUGCAGAAGAGGAGAGUGGAAUUCCAGGUGUAGCGGUGAAAUGCGUAGAUAUAUGGGGGAACACCAGUGGCGAAGGCGGCUCUCUGGUCUGUAACUGACGCUGAGGCUCGAAAGCGUGGGGAGCAAACAGG